GAUCAUUAUCGAAAUAAACCUGAUGGGUUGUUGCUGGUUCUCUAGGGAAACAUGUGCACGCCUUGUCAUCUUUAUAUCUCCACCUGUGCACUCUUUGUAGACCUUUUCAGGUCUAUGUUGAUUCUUCAUUUACCCCCAAUGUAUGUUGAUAGAAUGUCGUCCAUAAUGUAAUCUAUACAACUUUCAGCAACGGAUCUCUUGGCUCUCGCAUCGAUGAAGAACGCAGCGAAAUGCGAUAAGUAAUGUGAAUUGCAGAAUUCAGUGAAUCAUCGAAUCUUUGAACGCACCUUGCGCUCCUUGGUAUUCCGAGGAGCAUGCCUGUUUGAGUGUCAUUAAUAUAUCAAAUCCUCUCUCUCUCUUGUUGAGUAGGUUUGGAUGUGGGGGGUUUGCUGAGGGUUCAGCUCUCCUGAAAUGCAUUAGCAGAACAACCUGUUCAUUGGUGUGAUAAACUAUCUACGCUAUUGAAUGUGAGGGAAGUUCAGCUUUCUAACAGUCCUCUGAGACAGUUUAUCAUUUAUGUGACCUCAAAUCAGGUAGG
Molecule: ribosomal RNA, 538 nt
Filed under: uncultured Cortinarius
Lineage: Eukaryota; Fungi; Basidiomycota; Agaricomycetes; Agaricales; Cortinariaceae
Description: eukaryotic LSU rRNA
Rfam family: 5.8S ribosomal RNA (bases 179-332)
Source: RNAcentral